GUAAAUUACCCAAUCCUGAUUCAGGGGAGGUAGUGACAAGAAAUAACAACUCGGGGCCUCACGGCUUACGAGAUUGCAAUGAGAACAAUUUAAAUCUCUUAGCGAGGAACAAUUGGAGGGCAAGUCUGGUGCCAGCAGCCGCGGUAAUUCCAGCUCCAAUAGCGUAUAUUAAAGUUGUUGCAGUUAAAAAGCUCGUAGUUGAAUUUCUGAUUAUGGAUGUAGCGGUUUCCGUUACAUUUGUAGUCAUCCACAUGAGAACCUUUCUCGGCCUUCACUGGUCGGUUGGGGGAUCAUGUACUUUACUUUGAAAAAAUACAGAGUGUUUCAGGCAGGCGUUUGCAUGAAUACACAAGCAUGGAAUAAUGGAAUAGGACUAGGGUCCAUUUUAUUGGUUAUUGGACCAUAGUAAUGAUUAAUAGGGACAGUUGGGGGCGAUUAGUAUUUAAUUGUCAGAGG
This 456-nucleotide ribosomal RNA is filed under the name uncultured eukaryote. RNAcentral's name for it is "SSU rRNA". It matches the Rfam family "Eukaryotic small subunit ribosomal RNA", at positions 436 to 911 of the family's 1831-position model. The record is from RNAcentral.